This 876-nucleotide long non-coding RNA is filed under the name Eucalyptus grandis. Its description in RNAcentral is "long non-coding RNA (EGRA_LNC002143)". The record is from RNAcentral. Lineage: Eukaryota; Viridiplantae; Streptophyta; Magnoliopsida; Myrtales; Myrtaceae.
UUUCCAGAUUUUGAGACAUAAAAAAAGUCAUAGUUUUACAAUUCAGAAUGUGCUUGUUUAUCUAUGAGCUGCAACAUAUUGACCAAAAUUUUAGAUCUAAGAAUCUUUGCAUGGCUAAGUACCUCAUUCCUCUUACUGCAGAUACUUAACAGUUCAAGUACUCCAAUUUUCUCCACUGCCAUUAUAGCCUUCUCAGGGAAUCCAAAGGUGCAGCACUUUUGAUUUGGGAAAUUCGAAGGGUUAGUUCUCACAACUCUUUGUAAUAUGUAGAACAAUUUAUAAGUCGAGAACAGUCACUUCUCUCGUCAAAUUUAGAAGUCUCUAAGAUUUUUCUUUGUUUUAUUUUUUUAUGAUCCAGGGGCACGUACAUUGGAACCAGACAAAUUUAGCAUAAGAGAACAUCAAAUGCAACUCUAGAAGGAAGACAGCCUAUUCAUCAUGAAUUUCCAGAUUUUGAGACAUGAAAAAGUCAUAGUUUUUUUUUUUUUUUUUCUAUUUUUUCACCCAAAAAAAAAGUCAUAGUUUUACCUUUACCGAAAAAAAAAAUAAAAAUAAAAAGUCAUAGUUUUACAAUUCAGAAUGUGCUUGUUUAUCUAUGAACUGCAACAUAUUGACCAAAAUUUGGGAUCUAAGAAUCUUUGCAUGGCUAAGUACCUCAUUCCUCUUACUGCAGACACUUUAACAGUUCAAAUACUCCAAUUUUCUCCAUUGCCAUUAUAGCCUUCUCAGGGAAUCCAAAGGUGCAGCACUUUUGAUUUGGGAAAUUCGUAGGGUUAGUUCUCACAAAACUUUGUAAUAUGUUGAACAAUUUAUAAGUCGAGAACAGUCACUUCUCUCAUCAAAUUUAGGAGUCUCUAAGAUUUUUCUUUGUUUUUA